GACGAACGCUGGCGGCGUGCUUAACACAUGCAAGUCGAACGAUGAAACCCAGCUUGCUGGGUGGAUUAGUGGCGAACGGGUGAGUAACACGUGGGUGAUCUGCCCUGCACUCUGGGAUAAGCCUGGGAAACUGGGUCUAAUACCGGAUAUGACCUCGGGAUGCAUGUCCUGGGGUGGAAAGUUUUUCGGUGCAGGAUGAGCCCGCGGCCUAUCAGCUUGUUGGUGGGGUAAUGGCCUACCAAGGCGACGACGGGUAGCCGGCCUGAGAGGGCGACCGGCCACACUGGGACUGAGACACGGCCCAGACUCCUACGGGAGGCAGCAGUGGGGAAUAUUGCACAAUGGGCGAAAGCCUGAUGCAGCGACGCCGCGUGAGGGAUGACGGCCUUCGGGUUGUAAACCUCUUUCAGCAGGGACGAAGCGAAAGUGACGGUACCUGCAGAAGAAGCACCGGCCAACUACGUGCCAGCAGCCGCGGUAAUACGUAGGGUGCGAGCGUUGUCCGGAAUUACUGGGCGUAAAGAGCUCGUAGGCGGUUUGUCGCGUCGUCUGUGAAAUCCCGCAGCUCAACUGCGGGCUUGCAGGCGAUACGGGCAGACUCGAGUACUGCAGGGGAGACUGGAAUUCCUGGUGUAGCGGUGAAAUGCGCAGAUAUCAGGAGGAACACCGGUGGCGAAGGCGGGUCUCUGGGCAGUAACUGACGCUGAGGAGCGAAAGCGUGGGUAGCGAACAGGAUUAGAUACCCUGGUAGUCCACGCCGUAAACGGUGGGCGCUAGGUGUGGGUUUCCUUCCACGGGAUCCGUGCCGUAGCCAACGCAUUAAGCGCCCCGCCUGGGGAGUACGGCCGCAAGGCUAA
RNAcentral lists this ribosomal RNA (857 nucleotides) under uncultured compost bacterium. Its description in RNAcentral is "bacterial SSU rRNA". It matches the Rfam family "Bacterial small subunit ribosomal RNA", at positions 28 to 897 of the family's 1533-position model. The record is from RNAcentral.